GUGGCGGACGGGUGAGUAACGCGUGGGAACGUGCCCCUUGGUACGGAAUAGCCCCGGGAAACUGGGAGUAAUACCGUAUGUGGUCGAGAGACGAAAGAUUUAUCGCCAAGGGAUCGGCCCGCGUUGGAUUAGGUAGUUGGUGGGGUAAUGGCCUACCAAGCCGACGAUCCAUAGCUGGUUUGAGAGGAUGAUCAGCCACACUGGGACUGAGACACGGCCCAGACUCCUACGGGAGGCAGCAGUGGGGAAUCUUAGACAAUGGGGGAAACCCUGAUCUAGCCAUGCCGCGUGAUCGAUGAAGGCCUUAGGGUUGUAAAGAUCUUUCAGGUGGGAAGAUAAUGACUGUACCACCAGAAGAAGCCCCGGCUAACUCCGUGCCAGCAGCC
RNAcentral lists this ribosomal RNA (386 nucleotides) under uncultured bacterium. RNAcentral's name for it is "bacterial SSU rRNA". It matches the Rfam family "Bacterial small subunit ribosomal RNA", at positions 95 to 516 of the family's 1533-position model. The record is from RNAcentral.